GUUUUAAUAAUUUAAUAAAAAUAUUGGUCUUGUAAACCAAAAAUAAGAACACCCCUUUUAAAACU
RNAcentral lists this transfer RNA (65 nucleotides) under Prorhinotermes canalifrons. Its description in RNAcentral is "tRNA-Thr". It matches the Rfam family "tRNA". Rfam says of the family: Transfer RNA (tRNA) molecules are approximately 80 nucleotides in length. Their secondary structure includes four short double-helical elements and three loops (D, anti-codon, and T loops). Lineage: Eukaryota; Metazoa; Arthropoda; Insecta; Blattodea; Rhinotermitidae. The record is from RNAcentral.